AUUGAACGCUGGCGGCAUGCCUUACACAUGCAAGUCGAACGGCAGCACGGGUGCUUGCCCCUGGUGGCGAGUGGCGAACGGGUGUGUAAUACAUCGGAACAUGUCCCGUAGUGGGGGAUAGUCCGGUGAAAGCCGGAUUAAUACCGCAUACGAUUGACGGAUGAAAGGGGGGGACCUUCGGGCCUCCGGCUGUCGGGUUGGCUGAUGGCGGAUUAGCUAGUUGUUGGGGUAAAGGCCUACUACGGCGACGACCAGUAGCUGGUCUGAGAGUACGACCAGCCACACUGGAACUGAGACACGGCCCAGACUCCUACGGGAGGCAGCAGUCGGGAAUUUUGGACAAUGGGCGAAAGCCUGAUCCAGCAAUGCCGCGUGUGUGAAGAAGGCCUUCGGGUUGUAAAGCACUUUUGUCCGGGAAGAAAUCCUUGGCCCUAAUACGGUCGGGGGAUGACGGUACCGGAAGAAUAAGCACCGGCUAACUACGUG
Molecule: ribosomal RNA, 486 nt
Filed under: uncultured bacterium
Lineage: Bacteria
Description: partial 16S ribosomal RNA
Rfam family: Bacterial small subunit ribosomal RNA
Source: RNAcentral